This 205-nucleotide ribosomal RNA is filed under the name uncultured Anoxybacillus sp. RNAcentral's name for it is "partial 16S ribosomal RNA". It matches the Rfam family "Bacterial small subunit ribosomal RNA", at positions 1178 to 1382 of the family's 1533-position model. Lineage: Bacteria; Bacillati; Bacillota; Bacilli; Caryophanales; Anoxybacillaceae. The record is from RNAcentral.
AGUGACAUCAAAUCAUCAUGCCCCUUAUGACCUGGGCUACACACGUGCUACAAUGGGCGGUACAAAGGGUCGCGAACCCGCGAGGGGGAGCCAAUCCCAAAAAGCCGCUCUCAGUUCGGAUUGCAGGCUGCAACUCGCCUGCAUGAAGCCGGAAUCGCUAGUAAUCGCGGAUCAGCAUGCCGCGGUGAAUACGUUCCCGGGCCUU